GAUGAACGCUGGCGGCGUGCCUAAUACAUGCAAGUCGAGCGAACAGACGAGGAGCUUGCUCCUCUGACGUUAGCGGCGGACGGGUGAGUAACACGUGGAUAACCUACCUAUAAGACUGGGAUAACUUCGGGAAACCGGAGCUAAUACCGGAUAAUAUAUUGAACCGCAUGGUUCAAUAGUGAAAGACGGUUUUGCUGUCACUUAUAGAUGGAUCCGCGCCGCAUUAGCUAGUUGGUAAGGUAACGGCUUACCAAGGCAACGAUGCGUAGCCGACCUGAGAGGGUGUUCGGCCCCGCUGGAAGUGGAACACGGCCCAGCCUCCAACGGAGGGAAGAAGUAGGGAUUCUUCCGAAAGGGGCGAAAGCUAGCCGGAACACCGCGGGGGAGGUGAAGAAGUUCUUGGGGUGUUAAACUCUUUUUAUUGGGGAAGAAAAAAUUGUUAAAUAACUUUGCCCUUUUUGACGUUACCAAAAAAAAAAGCCACGGCAACCUACG
Molecule: ribosomal RNA, 495 nt
Filed under: uncultured bacterium
Lineage: Bacteria
Description: partial 16S ribosomal RNA
Rfam family: Bacterial small subunit ribosomal RNA
Source: RNAcentral